AUGGGGUCGCGCUCCUGUGGCGGAGACCUAGCUGCCGCCGCUUCCUCCCGCACGCCUCCUCCUCUCUCUCCCUUCCUCCCGCAGCCGCCUCCCUCCCUCCCGUGCGCCUCCUCUCCUCCCCCCGCCUCCCUCAGCCACAUCGCCGCCGCCACCACCCGCCUCCCCACUCGGACGAACCCCUCUCCUCUUCCCCCGCCUCGCCUCUCUCCCUUCCCCCGUCCAAACCCUAGGCCCGCGCCCGCCGGCCGCCGCCGCCGCCGCUUGCCCAGGCCAUCCUCCCGCUGUGAAGGAAGCGGCCAGAGAGGAAGGGCGUCGCCAGGUGUGCAUGUGCCUCCGCGGAUUCGUGCCACGAUUGCCGGAGGCGUGGGCGCCACGGGUCACCUCUCCAGAUCGGUGGAGGCCAAGGGCAAGGGCAAGGAGGAGGGGAGAAGAAGACCUUCGGCCAGCUGCGGGAAGCCGCCGCUGGCGUCCUCCGCGGCAUCCACCGGCGCCGGUGGCGGGCAGAAGCGCAAGUGCCACGACCACACGCACUCCGAGAACGUCGCCGGUGGAAAGUACGGCGCCUCCGGUGGCCGCUGCCACUGCUCCAAGCGCAGGAAGUCCCGGGUUCGGCGGAUGACUCGCGUGCCGGCAAUCAGCUCGAAGGCGGCGAAGAUCCCCGCGGACGACUUCUCGUGGCGCAAGUACGGGCAGAAGCUGCCUGUGGAGAAUGCCCUGGACUCAGCAGUUGACGUAACUCGGUUGAGCUGCGGUGCGCUAUAUUUAGCUGAUUUUAUUGGGAAGGGAAGAGGUAUGAAAUUCUCAACUUAG
This 810-nucleotide ribosomal RNA is filed under the name Triticum aestivum (bread wheat). RNAcentral describes it as "partial small subunit ribosomal RNA". The record is from RNAcentral. Lineage: Eukaryota; Viridiplantae; Streptophyta; Magnoliopsida; Poales; Poaceae.